AUUUAUAUAAUAUAAAUACAGUAUAUUUGACUUCCAAUCAAAAAGUUUAAAAUUAUUUAAUAUAAAUA
Molecule: transfer RNA, 68 nt
Filed under: Helcystogramma macroscopa
Lineage: Eukaryota; Metazoa; Arthropoda; Insecta; Lepidoptera; Gelechiidae
Description: tRNA-Gly
Source: RNAcentral